RNAcentral lists this ribosomal RNA (555 nucleotides) under uncultured bacterium. RNAcentral describes it as "partial 16S ribosomal RNA". It matches the Rfam family "Bacterial small subunit ribosomal RNA", at positions 355 to 895 of the family's 1533-position model. The record is from RNAcentral.
UGGGGAAUUUUGGACAAUGGGCGAAAGCCUGAUCCAGCAAUGCCGCGUGUGUGAAGAAGGCCUUCGGGUUGUAAAGCACUUUUGUCCGGAAAGAAAUCCUUGGCUCUAAUACAGUCGGGGGAUGACGGUACCGGAAGAAUAAGCACCGGCUAACUACGUGCCAGCAGCCGCGGUAAUACGUAGGGUGCAAGCGUUAAUCGGAAUUACUGGGCGUAAAGCGUGCGCAGGCGGUUUGCUAAGACCGAUGUGAAAUCCCCGGGCUCAACCUGGGAACUGCAUUGGUGACUGGCAGGCUAGAGUAUGGCAGAGGGGGGUAGAAUUCCACGUGUAGCAGUGAAAUGCGUAGAGAUGUGGAGGAAUACCGAUGGCGAAGGCAGCCCCCCUGGGGCCAAAUACUGACGCUCAUGCACGAAAGCGUGGGGAGCAAACAGGAUUAGAUACCCUGGUAGUCCACGCCCCAUAAACGAUGUCAACUAGUUGUUGGGGGACUUCAUUUUCCUUAGUAACGUAGCUAACGCGUGAAGUUGACCGCCUGGGGAGUACGGUCGCAAGAUU